AAUGGUGGAUUUAGUCAGGUACAUCGAAAAAGGCUACCUAUUGUCAAAGGUCAGCGGGCUUGUGAUGAGGGACCCGAGCAUAGGUCCGUAGGGGAGUCUUGAUGCCCGACACCGCAUGCCAACUGGUGUGAGAAUUGUCGACUAAUUGCUCGCUACAUGGAGGAAUCAUCACAGGAGUAAAAGUGCACAAUAUAUACAUUAUCAUUUCUCUUU
RNAcentral lists this long non-coding RNA (213 nucleotides) under Phoenix dactylifera (date palm). RNAcentral's name for it is "long non-coding RNA (PDAC_LNC007675)". The record is from RNAcentral. Lineage: Eukaryota; Viridiplantae; Streptophyta; Magnoliopsida; Arecales; Arecaceae.